CACUCCUGCGGGAGGCAGCAGUGGGGAAUAUUGGACAAUGGGCGCAAGCCUGAUCCAGCCAUGCCGCGUGAGUGAUGAAGGCCCUAGGGUUGUAAAGCUCUUUCACCGGAGAAGAUAAUGACGGUAUCCGGAGAAGAAGCCCCGGCUAACUUCGUGCCAGCAGCCGCGGUAAUACGAAGGGGGCUAGCGUUGUUCGGAAUUACUGGGCGUAAAGCGCACGUAGGCGGAUCGAUCAGUCAGGGGUGAAAUCCCAGGGCUCAACCCUGGAACUGCCUUUGAUACUGUCGAUCUGGAGUAUGGAAGAGGUGAGUGGAAUUCCGAGUGUAGAGGUGAAAUUCGUAGAUAUUCGGAGGAACACCAGUGGCGAAGGCGGCUCACUGGUCCAUUACUGACGCUGAGGUGCGAAAGCGUGGGGAGCAAACAGGAUUAGAUACCCCAGUAGUCCC
RNAcentral lists this ribosomal RNA (446 nucleotides) under uncultured organism. Its description in RNAcentral is "partial 16S ribosomal RNA". It matches the Rfam family "Bacterial small subunit ribosomal RNA", at positions 334 to 797 of the family's 1533-position model. The record is from RNAcentral.